This 528-nucleotide non-coding RNA is filed under the name Pongo abelii (Sumatran orangutan). Lineage: Eukaryota; Metazoa; Chordata; Mammalia; Primates; Hominidae. The record is from RNAcentral.
UUUUUUUUUUUUUGUAUUUUUAGUAGAGACGGGGUUUCACCAUGUUGGUGAGGCUGGUCUCAAACUCCUGACCUCAAGUGAUCCGCCCGCCUCGGCCUCCCAAAGUGCUGGGAUUACAGGCAUGAGCAGCCAUGCCUGCCUGGAAAUGACUGUUUUCUAUCCUUUUAUCAGAUUCUCAUGCUGCGGGGUGGGGUUGGGCUGCUUUAAAAAGAGCCCAACGGGCUGCUUUAAAAAGAGCCCAACAGGCUGCUCAUGGCUGCUUUCUCCACAGUCCUGUCCCUGGACUGCUAUUUCCUCCUGCAAUGGCAAAAGGGCAUGCCUGCCUGCCUCCUUUCUGAACCCAUACCCUGAUCCCACCCUCCCCCCAGUACACACACAAACAAAGUUAACAAAAAAGGAACCCCUUGUCCGGAAACCAACCCAGGGAAACAGAAGUGACGAGAAUCUUGAGGAAGAAUCACAUCAGUUUGGAGCUUGUUCUGGGAAACUGUGAAAAAGUUUGGGAGAGCAAAUUCAGAGAAGAGGCCA